This 64-nucleotide transfer RNA is filed under the name Candidatus Enterenecus faecium. It matches the Rfam family "tRNA". Rfam says of the family: Transfer RNA (tRNA) molecules are approximately 80 nucleotides in length. Their secondary structure includes four short double-helical elements and three loops (D, anti-codon, and T loops). The record is from RNAcentral. RNAcentral also lists the same sequence under 1 other name. Lineage: Bacteria; Bacillati; Bacillota; Clostridia; Eubacteriales.
GGAUUAGUGUAAUGGUAGCACACCAGACUCUGACUCUGUUCGUGAGGGUUCGAAUCCUUCAUCC